AACUAUUGGGUCAAACAAUGUUACCUGUGACGUCCCACUUUUCUGGGAGUCAUCCAUCCUAGGACUACUCUAGUCCUAACAUACUUAACUCUCUUAACCUCUUGGGCCUAACAACUGCUUUCCGGCUGAUAAUUAGCUCUGAUACUAAUUGUCACGUCCCAACUUUCUAGGGGGUCACCCAUCCUAGGACUACUCUAGUCUUGGCAUAUUUAACUCUCUUAACCUCUUGGGCUUAACCACUGUCCCAAAUGUUAUAACCAGAUUAAGAAAUUUAGUCCUACUAUAUUUUAUAUAUAGGACUAAUUGGGGUCUCACAAUAUAUAAAAGGAUUCCAACCUAAUAAUAAUAAUUAGGGCUCACUAGCCGGAAGUGUGAAAUGAGUCUUGUCUGAGCCAGGUUCGGAAUGACAGACUAAGCCAUGGUCGGAAUGACAAAGCUAACGAGAUCAGUUUCACAUCAUCUGGUGAUCUUGGAUUGUGUGUGUGUUUAGAACUGACGAGGACGUUAGAGCCUAAAUAGGGGGAAUUUGUGACACCCUAAUAUUCCACAUCGGAUGAAAAUGGAGUUGUCAUUGGGUAUAUGAGAUGACUCCACCCUAGUAAUAAUAACUGGGCUUAAGCAUUUUGGGCUGGUUGUUUGGGUUCAACAAGUUAUUAUUGCCAGCGGGUCGGGUCGUUACAACUGCUCUUUAAGUCUUCUAAAUAAUUCAGUCACAGGUAUAUCACCUUUAAUU
This 733-nucleotide long non-coding RNA is filed under the name Ananas comosus (pineapple). RNAcentral describes it as "long non-coding RNA (ACOM_LNC024028)". Lineage: Eukaryota; Viridiplantae; Streptophyta; Magnoliopsida; Poales; Bromeliaceae. The record is from RNAcentral.